RNAcentral lists this ribosomal RNA (585 nucleotides) under uncultured soil bacterium. RNAcentral describes it as "bacterial SSU rRNA". It matches the Rfam family "Bacterial small subunit ribosomal RNA", at positions 340 to 916 of the family's 1533-position model. The record is from RNAcentral.
UACGGGAGGCAGCAGUGGGGAAUUUUGGACAAUGGGCGAAAGCCUGAUCCAGCCAUUCCGCGUGAGUGAAGAAGGCCUUCGGGUUGUAAAGCUCUUUCGCAAGGGAAGAAAACUUACCUUCUAAUAAAGGGUGAGGCUGACGGUACCUUGAUAAGAAGCACCGGCUAACUACGUGCCAGCAGCCGCGGUAAUACGUAGGGUGCGAGCGUUAAUCGGAAUUACUGGGCGUAAAGCGUGCGCAGGCUGUUUUGUAAGUCAGAUGUGAAAUCCCCGAGCUCAACUUGGGAACUGCGUUUGAAACUACAAGACUAGAAUAUGUCAGAGGGGGGUAGAAUUCCACGUGUAGCAGUGAAAUGCGUAGAGAUGUGGAGGAAUACCAAUGGCGAAGGCAGCCCCCUGGGAUAAUAUUGACGCUCAUGCACGAAAGCGUGGGGAGCAAACAGGAUUAGAUACCCUGGUAGUCCACGCCCUAAACGAUGUCUACUAGUUGUUGGUGGAGUAAAAUCCAUGAGUAACGCAGCUAACGCGUGAAGUAGACCGCCUGGGGAGUACGGUCGCAAGAUUAAAACUCAAAGGAAUUGACGG